RNAcentral lists this ribosomal RNA (324 nucleotides) under uncultured eukaryote. RNAcentral describes it as "partial 18S ribosomal RNA". It matches the Rfam family "Eukaryotic small subunit ribosomal RNA", at positions 1470 to 1796 of the family's 1831-position model. The record is from RNAcentral.
CCCUUAGGUGUCCUGGGCUGCACGCGCGCUACACUGAUGUGUCCAGUAAGCACCUAACCUAUUCCGAGAGGAGCGGGUAACCUUAGCAAAGCACAUCGUGAUGGGGAUAGAUUAUUGCAAUUAUUAGUCUUGAACGAGGAAUUCCUAGUAAGCACAAGUCAUCAGCUUGUGUUGAUUACGUCCCUGCCCUUUGUACACACCGCCCGUCGCUCCUACCGAUUGAAUGUUCCGGUGAGCUCUUCGGACUGCGCGGUCUGCAGUUUCUGCGUUCCGUGCGGAAAGUUGUGCAAACCUUAACAUUUAGAGGAAGGAGAAGUCGUAACA